AAGAUUUAUGGUGCUCGUGUUCGGGUUGAUUCCAUGGCUAAAGUUGCAGAGCUUGAGGCUUCCGAGAAGGAUAAAAUGAAGGAAAAAGUGCAAAAGAUCAUAUCACAUGGAAUCAACUGCUUUGUCAACCGGCAGUUGAUAUACAACUUCCCUGAGGAACUUUUUGCUGAUGCUGGUAUACUUGCCAUUGAGCAUGCUGAUUUUGAUGG
This 209-nucleotide unclassified non-coding RNA is filed under the name Hevea brasiliensis (rubber tree). Lineage: Eukaryota; Viridiplantae; Streptophyta; Magnoliopsida; Malpighiales; Euphorbiaceae. The record is from RNAcentral.